RNAcentral lists this ribosomal RNA (439 nucleotides) under uncultured bacterium. RNAcentral's name for it is "partial 16S ribosomal RNA". It matches the Rfam family "Bacterial small subunit ribosomal RNA", at positions 339 to 795 of the family's 1533-position model. The record is from RNAcentral.
CUACGGGCGGCACCAGUGGGGAAUAUUGGACAAUGGGCGCAAGCCUGAUCCAGCAAUGCCGCGUGAGUGAAGACGGCCUUAGGGUUGUAAAACUCUUUCGCUAGGGAAGAUAAUGACUGUACCUAGUAAAGAAGUCCCGGCUAACUCCGUGCCAGCAGCCGCGGUAAUACGGCGGGGACUAGCGUUGUUCGGAAUUACUGGGCGUAAAGAGUUCGUAGGCGGACUGACAAGUUAGAGGUGAAAUCCCAGGGCUCAACCCUGGAACUGCCUUUAAAACUGUCAGUCUAGAGACCGGAAGAGGUUAGGGGAAUACCUAGUGUAGAGGUGAAAUUCGUAGAUAUUAGGUGGAACACCAGUGGCGAAGGCGCCUAACUGGUCCGGUACUGACGCUGAGGAACGAAAGCGUGGGGAGCAAACAGGAUUAGAUACCCCCGUAGUC